Long non-coding RNA from Haliotis rubra (blacklip abalone), 412 nucleotides. RefSeq lists it as uncharacterized. The record is from RefSeq and is a predicted model, not a curated record. The transcript is spliced from 2 exons. NCBI's taxonomy places the organism in Eukaryota, Metazoa, Mollusca, Gastropoda, Lepetellida, Haliotidae.
UGCUAGGAAUGGGAAAGGGGUGAGUAUAGACUGCUAGGGAUGGGAAGGGGAUGAGUAUAUGCUAAUUGGGAUGGGAAGGGGAUAGUAUAGACUGCUAGGGAUGGGGAGGGGAUGAGUAUAGACUGCUAGGGAUGGGAAGGGGAUGAGUAUAUGCUAAUUGGGAUGGGAAGGGGAUGGGUAUAGGCUGCUAGGGAUGGCAAGGGGGUGAGUAUAGGCUGCUAGGGAUGGGGAGGGGAUGAGUAUAGGCUGCUAGGGAUGGGAAGGGGAUGCGUAUAGACUGCUAGGGAUGGGAAGGGGAUGCAUAUAGGCUGCUAGGGAUGGGAAGGGGAUGAGUAUAGACUGCUAGGGAUGGGAAGGGGAUGCAUAUAGGCUGCUAGGGAUGGGAAGGGGAUGCGUAUAGACUGCUAGGGAU